UGAGGAAUAUUGGUCAAUGGGCGGGAGCCUGAACCAGCCAAGUAGCGUGAAGGAUGAAGGUUCUAUGGAUUGUAAACUUCUUUUACAGGGGAAUAAAGUGCACCACGUGUGGUGUUUUGUAUGUACCCUAUGAAUAAGGACCGGCUAACUCCGUGCCAGCAGCCGCGGUAAUACGGGGGGUGCAAGCGUUGUCCGGAAUCAUUGGGCGUAAAGAGCACGUAGGCGGUAUCCUAAGUCAGAUGUGAAAGACCAGGGCUCAACCCUGGGGUUGCAUACGAUACUGGGGAACUAGAGUGCAGGAGAGGAAAGUGGAAUUCCUAGUGUAGCGGUGAAAUGCGUAGAUAUUAGGAGGAACACCAGUGGCGAAGGCGGCCUGCUGGGCUUUUACUGACGCUGAGGCUCGAAAGUGUGGGUAGCAAACA
Molecule: ribosomal RNA, 422 nt
Filed under: uncultured bacterium
Lineage: Bacteria
Description: bacterial SSU rRNA
Rfam family: Bacterial small subunit ribosomal RNA
Source: RNAcentral